Molecule: unclassified non-coding RNA, 376 nt
Filed under: fungal sp.
Lineage: Eukaryota; Fungi
Description: partial internal transcribed spacer region
Rfam family: Eukaryotic small subunit ribosomal RNA (bases 1-46)
Source: RNAcentral
AAGUCGUAACAAGGUUUCCGUAGGUGAACCUGCGGAAGGAUCAUUAACACGUAUCCAACGUUAAACAACCCUGUGAAUGCUCUCGCACACGCUCUAGCAGCAAUCCCUGGUAAAUCAUUGUUGACCAGCUAUUGAGUCAGGGACCUCUGCUUUAAAACGAUGCGAUACGAGCGCCAGAGUAAGUGCGGCCUGGCAUCCUAGCAAUCUGUCAGUGGUUGCGCAAGGAUGGCGCAGUAAACGAUCGCUGUAGGCCCACACGGCCGGCGACCGGGCCUCUGUGCUUCGGCACCUAACGACCCCAUGUUUCGUACCCGGUGCGCUGUAACAACCGCACCACAAACUCGAACAACUGUUAACAAUGGAUAUCUUGGUUCUC